RNAcentral lists this ribosomal RNA (377 nucleotides) under uncultured bacterium. RNAcentral's name for it is "partial 16S ribosomal RNA". It matches the Rfam family "Bacterial small subunit ribosomal RNA", at positions 338 to 732 of the family's 1533-position model. The record is from RNAcentral.
CCUACGGGUGGCUGCAGUGGGGGAUAUUGCACAAUGGUGGGAACCCUGAUGCAGCGACGCCGCGUGUGGGAAGACGGUCCACUGUAUCGUAAACCACUGUCCCCAGGGACGAAAAUGACGGUACCUGGGGAGGAAGCUCCGGCUAACUACGUGCCAGCAGCCGCGGUAAUACGUAGGGAGCGAGCGUUGUCCGGAAUUACUGGGUGUAAAGGGAGCGUAGGCGGGGAUGCAAGUUGGGGGUCAAAACUACCGGCUCAACUGGUAGUCGCACUCAAAACUGCAGCUCUUGAGUGAAGUAGAGGCAGGCGGAAUGCGUAGUGUAGCGGUGAAAUGCGUAGAUAUCAGGCGGAACACCAGUGGCGAAGGCGGCCUGCUGG